GGAGGGCGCCCCGCCCAGGUGAGGAGGGCGCCGCCGGCUUCCCGGGGCCGCGGGUACGCCCAGGCCGACCGGGCGCAGCCAGAGGGCGCCAGCGGGCCGCAAAGAGGGGCCCCGAGGUCCCGGCGGCCGCGGGCAGGUGACGCGGGCUUUUGUCUGAGGACGAGCAGCCGGGGUGAGCGUCGCCGCGCCGUCUCCCGCAUCCGCUCCCCGCCGGCAGGUGAGCCAGGUGGGUGGACGUCCCAGUCCCCGUCCCCGUCCCCGCCCCCCGCCCCCCGGACCCCCCGACCCCGCCGCUCGCCACCGCGCAGGACCCGCCGCUGCCUCUGCUCGGCCGCCGCCUGCCCUCCGCCCACAGCAUCCUCGCGGGGCGCGGCGCGGCGCCCUCCCCACGCGGGCGGACCUGGGCCGCCGCCCUCGCCCCGGCCGCGCUCGCGGACUCGCCCUGGGUCGGCGGCCCCCUGCGGCCGCGCGGUGCCGGGUCUUCUCGGCCUCCCGCGCGUCCAGGCCUCCGGGUGUCCGGGUGUCCAGGCGUCCAGGUGUCUAGCUGUCCAGCUGUCCAGGCGUCCCGGUGUCCAGGCGUCCAGGUGUCCGGGUGUCUCGGUGUCCGGGUGUCCAGCUGUCCCGGUGUCCAGGCGUCCAGGGUCUGGGUGUCCAGCUGUCAGCUGUCCCGGUGUCCAGGUAUCCGGGUGUCCAGGUGUCCGGGUGUCCCGGUGUCCGGGUGUCCGGGUGUCCAGGCGUCCAGGUGUCCGGGCGUCCAGGUGUCCGGGUGUCCGGGUGUCCAGGUGUCCGGGUGUCCAGGCGUCCGGGUGUCCGGGUGUCCAGGCGUCCGGGUGUCCGGGUGUCCAGGUGUCCAGGUGUCCAGGCGUCCAGGUGUCCGGGUGUCCAGGUGUCCGGGGCUCCGGCGGGCGCGGCGCGCGAGGGUGCGGGGCGCGGGACGGGCAGCAGGUGCAGGGGGCGCCGUGGGCACCCCGGGGCGGGCCUCUGCGGCCAGUCCAGGGGAGACGGAGAGAGGGGGGCGAGGGCGAGGCGAGGGCGAGGGCGAGGGCGAGGGCGAGGGCGAGGGCGAGGGCUGCCCACGGACGCGGGGCUCGGCUCGGCGGGGGAGGGGCGCGGAGGGGGGCGCGCGCAAGCCGGGGGCCGGGGGCCGGGGGCCGGGGGCCGGGGCGGCGGGGCCGGGCGCAGGGGAGGCGGGCGGGGCCCGGGGCGGCGCGGAGGGGCGGGGUUCGCGGGCGGCGGGCGGCGGGAGGCGGGAGGCGGGAGGCGGGCGGCGGGCGGGCGCCGGGGGAGGGCGCUGGGCAGGAAGGGGAGGGGGAGCGCGGGCGCGAGCGGCGCAGGGGCUGCGGCGGCAGGAGCGGCGGCGGCGGCAGUAGCGGCGGCGGCGGCGGCGGCGGCGGCAGCUCCCACUCGCUCCUCGCUGCGGGCUCGGCCGUCGAGCCGGGACUCAGCCUCCGCCCGCGGCCAGGCACCCGCCGGCCACGCCCGCACCCGCGCCGCUCGCGGCACCGCGCUCCCCGGGGGCACAGCACCCGAGCCGGUAAGAGGGCGCCCCGCCGCCGGGCCCCGCGCCCCUGCCCGCUGCCCCCCGCUGCCCCGCCCCCCGCGCCCCCGGCCUUUGUUCUCCGGACGGCGGCCUCCGCGGGGCUCCCGUCGGGCGCGGGGCAGGGGCGCGGGGCGCGGGGCGCGGGGCGCGGGGCGCAGCCUGGCGCAGGGGUGGGGGGCGCGGGGCGCGGGGCCCGGGGCCGGGGGGCGCGCGGCGGGGACCUGCCGGAGCGCCGCGGGGCCGCGGGAGCGGAUGUCACCGGCCGGGGAGGGGGCGCGGGGCGCACGGGGCGCGCGGGGCGCGGGGCGGAGAGCGGGGCGCGGCCCCCGGGCCAGGGGCGGGCUUGCUGGGGGCUCCCGUGGGCGCCCCGGGGAGGCCGCGGGGGGCGCGGCGGGUGCGGCCGACAGGCGGGGGGACUGCGGGCCCCGGGUGGGUGCGCCCCGCGGCCCUCGGGGAAGACUCGCCGAGCGCCCGCCUCCCCGGAGACGCCGCCGCCCCGGGCGGGCCUCGAACCCGCGCCGCCCGCGCGACCGCCCCGCGGAGGAGGGCGCGGCGCCCACGGGUGCAGCCUGGCGCCCAGCCUGGGGCGGACCCCGUCGGGCUCCCGCGGGGCCGGCGGCGCGGGGGGGGGGGGGCGGGGGCCUCGCGGGGUCGCCCCGGGGCUCGGGGGCCGGGCGCUGCGGGCCGAAUGA
Molecule: long non-coding RNA, 2232 nt
Filed under: Canis lupus familiaris (dog)
Lineage: Eukaryota; Metazoa; Chordata; Mammalia; Carnivora; Canidae
Description: lncRNA (ENSCAFG00000051048.1)
Source: RNAcentral